GGAGUUUGGACCGUGUCUCAGUUCCAAUGUGGCCGAUCACCCUCUCAGGUCGGCUACUGAUCGUCGCCUUGGUGGGCCGUUACCUCACCAACCAGCUAAUCAGACGCGAACUCACCCCGAACCGGAUUUCUCCUUUGACCCCUGGACGAUGCCGCCCUGUGGUCUUAUGCGGUAUUAGCACCUGUUUCCAAGUGUUAUCCCCCUGUCCGGGACAGAUUGUUCACGCGUUACUCACCCGUCCGCCGCUAGAAUUACCACGAAUCCUGCCGAAGCUCUCAUCACAAUAAUCCCCGCUCGACUUGCAUGUGUUAGGCACGCCGCCAGCGUUCGUCCUCGAGCCACUGAUCAAACUACU
Molecule: ribosomal RNA, 355 nt
Filed under: uncultured Coriobacteriales bacterium
Lineage: Bacteria; Bacillati; Actinomycetota; Coriobacteriia; Coriobacteriales
Description: partial 16S ribosomal RNA
Source: RNAcentral